Paramuricea clavata is the source of this 73-nucleotide non-coding RNA. NCBI's taxonomy places the organism in Eukaryota, Metazoa, Cnidaria, Anthozoa, Malacalcyonacea, Plexauridae. The record is from the annotation of a GenBank genome assembly.
GCCUCUGUAGCUCAGUUGGUUAGAGCACUGCAUUGGAAUUGCAGGGCUGCAGGUUCAAUUCCUCGCAGGGGCC